This 96-nucleotide microRNA precursor is filed under the name Pseudobutyrivibrio sp. AR14. RNAcentral describes it as "microRNA mir-598". The record is from RNAcentral. Lineage: Bacteria; Bacillati; Bacillota; Clostridia; Lachnospirales; Lachnospiraceae.
UCGUGGUGAUGAUGUUCAUGUUCCUCAUGGUCGUGAUCAUGGUGAUGGUGCUCGUGCUCAUCAUGGUCGUGGUCAUGAUGAUGAUGUUCAUGCUCA